This 351-nucleotide ribosomal RNA is filed under the name bacterium enrichment culture DGGE band 1523gel3. RNAcentral's name for it is "bacterial SSU rRNA". It matches the Rfam family "Bacterial small subunit ribosomal RNA", at positions 570 to 914 of the family's 1533-position model. The record is from RNAcentral.
CGUAGGCGGUCUAGUGUGUCUGGUGUAAAGGCAGUGAACAGACCGUGGAUAUGCGCUGGAAACUGCUCGGCUAGAGGACGGAGAGGGGAGACGGAACUGCUGGUGUAGGGGUGAAAUCCGUAGAUUUCNGNAGGAAUCAGCCCGUGGGAGAAAGUCGGACUCUCCUGGGCUGGUCCUGACGCUGAGGCGCGAAAGCUAGGGGAGCAAACCGGAUUAGAUACCCGGGUAGUCCUAGCCGUAAACGAUGCUCACUAGGUGUGGGGGCGAAAGUCUCCCCUGCUGAAGCUAACGCCGCAUAAGUGAGCCGCCCUGGGGAGUAUGCCCGCAAGGGUGAAACUCCNAGGAAUUGAC